CACCAUGGGCGAAGUAUGUGGUUCGUGAAGGUGAUAAUGUGAAUUAUGAUUGGAUACACUGGGAUCCAGAACACUCAUAUGAAUUUCAGCAUUCCAGACCAAAGAAGCCACGGAGUCUAAGAAUUUAUGAAUCUCAUGUGGGAAUUUCUUCCCAUGAAGGAAAAGUAGCUUCUUAUAAACAUUUUACAUGCAAUGUACUACCAAGAAUCAAAGGCCUUGAUUUGACCAUUGCCUUAUAUAGGGUACAACUGCAUUCAGUUGAUGGCAAUCAUGGAGCAUGCUUACUAUGCCAGCUUUGGUUACCAAAUCACAAGCUUCUUUGCAGCUUCCAGCCGUUAUGGAACACCUGAAGAGCUACAAGAACUGGUAGACACAGCUCAUUCCAUGGGUAUCAUAGUCCUCUUAGAUGUAGUACACAGCCAUGCUUCAAAAAAUUCAGCAGAUGGAUUGAAUAUGUUUGAUGGGACAGAUUCCUGUUAUUUUCAUUCCGGACCUAGAGGGACUCAUGAUCUUUGGGAUAGCAGAUUGUUUGCCUACUCCAGGUAGGUACAUACAAUAUAGAAAUGUUUUCUAUUGUUGCUGUUUAAGAUUGAUUUUUAAGAAUUUCACUAAAUUCAUUGUGUGUGUACUCUCUCACUGGUACUUAAUGUUCUUAAUUGGAUUUAUUUUUGUUGUACAGUGGAUUUUACCUUGUUUUGUAUAGCACAUGUAUUUGUGGUAUAUUUCAUUAAGUUUCAGUUUUACAUAUCUUA
This 752-nucleotide small RNA is filed under the name Pongo abelii (Sumatran orangutan). RNAcentral's name for it is "retained intron". Lineage: Eukaryota; Metazoa; Chordata; Mammalia; Primates; Hominidae. The record is from RNAcentral.